UUACAUUUUUAUCUCAUGUUUUUCUCAAUUAGCCAAAAUGUCUAGCUAGCUUGAUCCCAAUAGCAGUAUGAAGGCCUAUUCCUUUUCAAAAAACUGGCAUUAAAAUUGGUCAGCGCAUACAUAAUUUAGAUUGAAUAUUAUAUUUUUUGUUUAAAAAUACUUAAAAUGUACCCAAAACCUUAAAUCAAAUCUUGCCCCAAAGCUUGAUUCGGCAUCCUAGGCAACUGAGGAUAUUGUAAACAGGAUUUUUUUUGGAAUAAAAAAGUAUCUACAAAAUCAAACCAAAAAUGACCCCAAAAUAUUGUUUUGAAAAAAUGUAGUUUUAUAUACAAUAUAUAGCGAAAAAUCUCAAGCGACGAAUAAUUAUGGCCACACUCUGUAUUUAAAAAAAACUUGUUUUUCUUCAACACUGGUUUGUCCCCACUCAUCCAAUCCACUGUAUAAGAAAUACCCAUGUCUCUAACAACCCCAAAUAAGUUGUUUAGACACAUGGUCAUAAGAAUGAUGGCUCGUCAUUUAUUAUAACUUGUGUAAUCUAAUUUUAUCAAAGAAAAGAAAGAAACGAAAAAAAAGACCCCAUAUGUGUGUCACUAGUUGGCUCGUCAUUUAUUAUAACUGUGUUAUCUUAUUUUAUCAAAGAAAAGAAAGAAACGAAGAAAAAAAAAGACCCCAUAUGUGUGUCACUAGUUGGCUCGUCAUUUAUUAUAACUGUGUUAUCUUAUUUUAUCAAAGAAAAGAAAGAAACGAAGAAAAAAAAAGACCCCAUAUGUGUGUCACUAGUUGGCUCGUCAUUUAUUAUAACUUGUGUUAUCUUAUUUUAUCAAAGAAAAGAAAGAAACGAAGAAAAAAAAGACCCAUAUGUGUGUCACUAGUUGGCUCGUCAUUUAUUAUAACUUAUGUUAUCUUAUUUUAUCAAAGAAAAGAAAGAAACGAAGAAAAAAAAGAC
This 946-nucleotide long non-coding RNA is filed under the name Mytilus galloprovincialis (Mediterranean mussel). Lineage: Eukaryota; Metazoa; Mollusca; Bivalvia; Mytilida; Mytilidae. The record is from RNAcentral.